RNAcentral lists this ribosomal RNA (253 nucleotides) under uncultured bacterium. RNAcentral describes it as "partial 16S ribosomal RNA". It matches the Rfam family "Bacterial small subunit ribosomal RNA", at positions 524 to 776 of the family's 1533-position model. The record is from RNAcentral.
GACAGAGGGUGCUAGCGUUGUUCGGAAUUACUGGGCGUAAAGGGCGCGUAGGCGGUCUGUUAAGUUCGGUGUGAAAGCCCCGGGCUCAACCUGGGAACCGCGCUUGAGACUGGCACGCUAGAGUUCGGGAGAGGAUGGUGGAAUUCCCAGUGUAGAGGUGAAAUUCGUAGAUAUUGGGAAGAACACCGAUGGCGAAGGCAGCCAUCUGGACCGACACUGACGCUGAGGCGCGAAAGCGUGGGGAGCAAACAGG